This 737-nucleotide ribosomal RNA is filed under the name Lactiplantibacillus plantarum. Its description in RNAcentral is "bacterial SSU rRNA". It matches the Rfam family "Bacterial small subunit ribosomal RNA", at positions 48 to 750 of the family's 1533-position model. The record is from RNAcentral. Lineage: Bacteria; Bacillati; Bacillota; Bacilli; Lactobacillales; Lactobacillaceae.
CUAAUACAUGCAAGUCGAACGAACUCUGGUAUUGAUUGGUGCUUGCAUCAUGAUUUACAUUUGAGUGAGUGGCGAACUGGUGAGUAACACGUGGGAAACCUGCCCAGAAGCGGGGGAUAACACCUGGAAACAGAUGCUAAUACCGCAUAACAACUUGGACCGCAUGGUCCGAGUUUGAAAGAUGGCUUCGGCUAUCACUUUUGGAUGGUCCCGCGGCGUAUUAGCUAGAUGGUGGGGUAACGGCUCACCAUGGCAAUGAUACGUAGCCGACCUGAGAGGGUAAUCGGCCACAUUGGGACUGAGACACGGCCCAAACUCCUACGGGAGGCAGCAGUAGGGAAUCUUCCACAAUGGACGAAAGUCUGAUGGAGCAACGCCGCGUGAGUGAAGAAGGGUUUCGGCUCGUAAAACUCUGUUGUUAAAGAAGAACAUAUCUGAGAGUAACUGUUCAGGUAUUGACGGUAUUUAACCAGAAAGCCACGGCUAACUACGUGCCAGCAGCCGCGGUAAUACGUAGGUGGCAAGCGUUGUCCGGAUUUAUUGGGCGUAAAGCGAGCGCAGGCGGUUUUUUAAGUCUGAUGUGAAAGCCUUCGGCUCAACCGAAGAAGUGCAUCGGAAACUGGGAAACUUGAGUGCAGAAGAGGACAGUGGAACUCCAUGUGUAGCGGUGAAAUGCGUAGAUAUAUGGAAGAACACCAGUGGCGAAGGCGGCUGUCUGGUCUGUAACUGACGCUGAG